UGGGGGAAUAUUGCACAAUGGGGGGAACCCUGAUGCAGCGACGCCGCGUGAAGGAAGAAGGUAUUCGUAUUGUAAACUUCUGUCGCAGAUGACGAAAGGAUGACGGUAAUCUGUAAGAAAGCACCGGCUAACUACGUGCCAGCAGCCGCGGUAAACGUAGGGUGCUAGCGUUGUCCGGAAUUACUGGGUGUAAAGGGAGCGCGGGUGGCAGUGCAAGUUGGAUGUAAAAAUCUACGGGCUCAACCCGUAUAAGCAUUCAAAACUGUGCAGCUUGAGUGAAGUAGG
RNAcentral lists this ribosomal RNA (285 nucleotides) under uncultured Oscillospiraceae bacterium. RNAcentral describes it as "partial 16S ribosomal RNA". It matches the Rfam family "Bacterial small subunit ribosomal RNA", at positions 354 to 655 of the family's 1533-position model. The record is from RNAcentral. Lineage: Bacteria; Bacillati; Bacillota; Clostridia; Eubacteriales; Oscillospiraceae.